UCGGUGAAUUAAUUCGGUGUC
This 21-nucleotide non-coding RNA is filed under the name Caenorhabditis elegans. Lineage: Eukaryota; Metazoa; Nematoda; Chromadorea; Rhabditida; Rhabditidae. The record is from RNAcentral.